AUGCUUCUACUUUCUGUAUGGAGCUGGGAGCGUCUGCCUGUUGGACGCCCGAAGAGCGUCAGGUUUAAUCCUUGGUAUCAAGAUGAAGAUGACGAAUUACGGCGCCCCACUUGGGCUUACAAGUGGGAUGUGGUUUCCGAGAUGACGAACGAUAUCAAUCUCAUGUACCAGAAGUACGUUGCCGAGUUGGACACGAUUACGCCUGAGCAGGUAACGAAGUCAUUACUUCAGUCAUUUGUCAUGUUUGCCUGA
RNAcentral lists this ribosomal RNA (252 nucleotides) under Triticum aestivum (bread wheat). RNAcentral describes it as "partial small subunit ribosomal RNA". The record is from RNAcentral. Lineage: Eukaryota; Viridiplantae; Streptophyta; Magnoliopsida; Poales; Poaceae.